CUUUAUUUUUGAAAAACUAUUAGAUUUUUAGAAAAAUAUUUUUUGAUCCUUUGAAGUUUCAUCAUUUUUUAUAUGGCCUUGUUUGCUUUGAAUAUUUGCAAUUGAACUCUCAUCUUAGUUUUUUGAUGCAAUAAGAUACCAUUUUCUAUUAGGUAGGCAUUUUGAAAUUCUGUCACAUAACUAUCAUGUGAUAACUUAAAAAUACUUUAAGACUGAAAUACACUUCUAUCAUUCAAGGGAGAG
This 243-nucleotide long non-coding RNA is filed under the name Elaeis guineensis (African oil palm). RNAcentral's name for it is "long non-coding RNA (EGUI_LNC026582)". The record is from RNAcentral. Lineage: Eukaryota; Viridiplantae; Streptophyta; Magnoliopsida; Arecales; Arecaceae.